CCUACGGGAGGCAGCAGUGAGGAAUAUUGGUCAAUGGACGCAAGUCUGAACCAGCCAUGCCGCGUGCAGGAAGACGGCCCUAUGAGUUGUAAACUGCUUUUGUACGAGGGUAAACGCAGAUACGCGUAUCUGUCUGAAAGUACAGUAUGAAUAAGGAUCGGCUAACUCCGUGCCAGUAGCCGCGGUAAUACGGAGGAUUCAAGCGUUAUCCGGAUUUAUUGGGUUUAAAGGGUGCGUAGGCGGUCGGAUAAGUUAGAGGUGAAAUCCCGAGGCUCAACUUCGGAAUUGCCUCUGAUACUGUUCGGCUAGAGAGUAGUUGCGGUAGGCGGAAUGUAUGGUGUAGCGGUGAAAUGCUUAGAGAUCAUACAGAACACCGAUUGCGAAGGCAGCUUACCAAGCUACUUCUGACGUUGAGGCACGAAAGCGUGGGGAGCAAACAGGAUUAGAUACCCGUGUAGUC
This 460-nucleotide ribosomal RNA is filed under the name uncultured bacterium. RNAcentral describes it as "partial 16S ribosomal RNA". It matches the Rfam family "Bacterial small subunit ribosomal RNA", at positions 338 to 795 of the family's 1533-position model. The record is from RNAcentral.